This 510-nucleotide long non-coding RNA is filed under the name Marmota monax (woodchuck). The record is from RNAcentral. Lineage: Eukaryota; Metazoa; Chordata; Mammalia; Rodentia; Sciuridae.
UCCAGGCAGCCUGUGCUCAAGUGAGCAUGGUGCCCAGCUUAUCCAUUCUUCCUGGGUGAUCCUCUCCAUCCUUUUCUUCAUUCAUUCUCUCCUUCCUUUAAGGUUACUUGAGCACAUGAUGUCAGACAUUGUGAAGGAAGAUGAAGUACAAAAGUAAGGGUUUCUCCAUUUUUCCCAUACCCUGGCCCCGACCAUUGCCCAUUAUGGAUCAGCAUCCACUUAUCAGAGAGAACAUUCAGCCUUUGUGUUUUUUGGGGGAUGGACUAACUUUGCUUAGCAUGAUACUCUCUAACUCCAUCCAUUUACCUGCAAAUGCCAUAAUUUUAUUCCCUUUUAAUGCUGGUGAUAUUCCAUUGUGUAUAUAUACCACAGUUUCUUUAUCCAUUCAUCUAUUGAUUGCUUCUACAGUUUAGCUAUUGUGAAUUGAGGUGCUAUAAACAUUGAGGUGGCUGUGUCACUAUAGUUAAGUCUUUUGGGUAUAGAAAAAGGAGUGGGAUAGCUGAAGGUGGG